Dreissena polymorpha is the source of this 780-nucleotide long non-coding RNA. RefSeq lists it as uncharacterized. The transcript is spliced from 2 exons. The record is from RefSeq and is a predicted model, not a curated record. NCBI's taxonomy places the organism in Eukaryota, Metazoa, Mollusca, Bivalvia, Myida, Dreissenidae.
UAUUUGUUAAUGCAGCAUCAACAUCCUAUAAUGCUAAAACAAGAUCCCGGAAAUAGAAAAAUAAUGCAUUUGAAUAUGAAAAUGAUUCGAUUUCAAUGUGAAUCAAAAUUGAGUGUUAGUGCAGAUUCGUUCAUACGACAAAAGGGCACUAUUUUGUUGAACGUAUCAUUUUGGCUUAGAGGACUGGGUGAGUCAUGUAAAAUAUCGAAUAUAAUAUAUAUUUUUAUAAACAAUUAGAAGAAAGAUGAGUUGCAGAUAAUUGGACAGUUACCACAUUUUAACUAACUCUUUUGGCCUGUUAAUUCUUUUCAGCUCAAAUCAACAGUGAAAAAUGCCCAUAAUAUCACUUUUAAACGCCUUGUAAGAAAAUACACGCACUUUAAAAAUUAUCAUUACAAUGCAUUCCAGACGCUUUACUCUAUUAAUAAAUGUAUUUCCUUUACAGCUCAACCGAUUUUUACAACUAUGCCCCAGAUCUGAAAGGUUACUGCAAUACAUGAUUGAAUUAAUACCUUAAUGAUCUUGGGAGUAAAUAUUUCAGUUUUUUGUUUUCAGUUAUUCAUUUAACAUCUCCAGACUUAUCAGAAAGUUACAGUCAGGUCCAGCUGUUAAAUCUUCAUACUAGUAUUCAACAACUGACCUAUGUACAUCGAUGAUGAAGUUACAAUCUGGACAAGAUCUGACAGACGCAAUUAAGUGAAUCGACAUUGUGACGGUUGUUUUAUCGAAAUUAUGUUAUUAACGGUAUAUGGUGAUUAAAAUGUAUUUAACAAAUUACAA